This is a long non-coding RNA of Quercus robur (English oak), 982 nucleotides long. RefSeq lists it as uncharacterized. Lineage: Eukaryota; Viridiplantae; Streptophyta; Magnoliopsida; Fagales; Fagaceae. The transcript has 2 exons. The record is from RefSeq and is a predicted model, not a curated record.
UCUUAUUCUAUUCCACUAGCUUAAAGUGCGUCUUUCCAAAAGACUGAAAACCCUUGUUGAUGCUCUGAAUUUUUUUUUUGUCCCUGUUGCCUUAUUUGUACUUGCAAUUUCUGGUACUUGUGGUUUACCACCGGGCCUUCUGGCCUAAGUGGUACCCGGUUCACUUGGUGACCGCCAGCUCAGGGGUUCUAUCCCCUGCAUAAACAAUUACCCAGCAAAAAAAAUUUCUGGUACUUGUGGUUUGAAAUUAGAAGAUCUCCAGUUGGUUUCACUUCAGACGUAUAAUUUCUUGCUAAAUGCGCUGGAUAUAUAUAUACAUUAACUAAUAGUUAGUUCACUCCCCUCCCCUCCCCCCUUUCUUUUUUGCUUAGAAAAAGUGAGGAGGGACUUUAACUCAGGUUUUCUCCAUAGGUUGAUCAGGCAGUACCACUAACAUAACUAUUGAAAAAGAUGUUAGGUAUAUCUUUUGAAUCAGAUCAAUCUGGGCCUGUUGGGUAUUGCUGCGAACUUUCGUAAUCAGUUUUUUAUGAGUGCUUUGGUGGUACCACCAGACCAUUAUGGUUCCAUAUGCAUGCCAUUGGUGACAGUGACACCCCCAAUUAUUACAAUCCUUGAAAUGUACAUUUACCUUAGGCCAGCUUGAAGUGGAAAGAAGAAGAGGCCUAUUGGUGUUCGCAAUGGCUCCAUUUUACUCAAAUCUGUAGGAUCAACACAUAAAAGUCCAUUUCAUUGGAGUCGGUAUUUGGGUUUCUGAUUGUUGCAGAUAUUUGGUCUGAGUGCUUUGAAAGACAAGAUGUGAGGGAGUUUGGGAAUGAAUUAGAGGUGGCGCCUAUGGUGUUUUUAUUUUUAUAUCAUUUUAAACAUUUUUCAAGAUUUUCCUUACAAAUCUACUCUCUGAAACCCAAAUUGUUUUUCCUCCAUUCCAUUUUGGGAUGUCCCAAAAUAAAGUCCUCUUUGAAAAGUCAAUAAAUAAAUUUCCUAA